UACGUAGGGGGCGAGCGUUGUCCGGAAUCACUGGGCGUAAAGGGCGCGUAGGCGGCCUGAGAAGUCGCAGGUGAAAUCCCACGGCUCAACCGUGGAACUGCCUGCGAAACCAUUGGGCUUGAGGACAGGAGAGGGAAGCGGAAUUCCUGGUGUAGCGGUGAAAUGCGUAGAUAUCAGGAGGAACACCAGUGGCGAAGGCGGCUUUCUGGCCUGGUCCUGACGCUGAGGCGCGAAAGCUAGGGGAGCAAACAGGAUUAGAUACCCCCGUAGUCC
Molecule: ribosomal RNA, 273 nt
Filed under: uncultured bacterium
Lineage: Bacteria
Description: partial 16S ribosomal RNA
Rfam family: Bacterial small subunit ribosomal RNA
Source: RNAcentral